GACGAACGCUGGCGGCGUGCUUAACACAUGCAAGUCGAACGGAAAGGCCCCUUUGGGGUUCCUCGAGUGGCGAACGGUUGAGUAACACGUGAGUAACCUGCCCUUUCCUUCGGGAUAACUUCAGGAAAGUGGGGCUAAUACCGGUAAGGAAUCCUUGCUGCAUCGUGGGGGUUGGAAAGCUUCGGCGGUUUUGGAUGGACUCGCGGCUUAUCAGCUUGUUGGUGGGGUAGUGGCUUACCAAGGCUUCGACGGGUAGCCGGACUGAGAGGGCGACCGGCCACAUUGGGACUGAGAUACGGCCCAGACUCCUACGGGAGGCAGCAGGGGGGAAGAUUGUACAAUGGGCGGAAGGCUGAUGCAGCAACGCCGCGUGCGGGAUGACGGCCUUCGGGUUGUAAACCGCUUUCAGCAGGGGCGAAGCUUGUGGUGACGGUACCUGCAGAAGAAGCACCGGCUAACUACGUG
This 465-nucleotide ribosomal RNA is filed under the name uncultured bacterium. RNAcentral's name for it is "partial 16S ribosomal RNA". It matches the Rfam family "Bacterial small subunit ribosomal RNA", at positions 28 to 507 of the family's 1533-position model. The record is from RNAcentral.